This is a long non-coding RNA of Anneissia japonica, 260 nucleotides long. RefSeq lists it as uncharacterized. The record is from RefSeq and is a predicted model, not a curated record. The transcript is spliced from 3 exons. NCBI's taxonomy places the organism in Eukaryota, Metazoa, Echinodermata, Crinoidea, Comatulida, Comatulidae.
AUGCAACUGUAGAAACUGUUGAUGCCCAGAAUGAGAAGGUUGGGAAUCGAAGUAUUCUUCAAUACUUAGCUGAUAAAGGACGUGAAAUGGCCCUUCGUCGUGCAUUAGAAAUAUCAAAUACGCGGGUGAAUUUGAAAGAUGAGCUUGGUGGCAAUACUCCUCUUCAUUUUUUACUUCGAGGUGACCACUCAUUCCACGUUCAUCAAGAUUCUGUGAAUGCAUUAAUACAAGCUGGAGCGAACAGUAGCAUAAAAAAUGAG